RNAcentral lists this ribosomal RNA (2288 nucleotides) under Mammaliicoccus sciuri. RNAcentral's name for it is "partial 23S ribosomal RNA". It matches the Rfam family "Bacterial large subunit ribosomal RNA", at positions 1 to 2283 of the family's 2925-position model. Lineage: Bacteria; Bacillati; Bacillota; Bacilli; Caryophanales; Staphylococcaceae. The record is from RNAcentral.
GAUUAAGUUAUUAAGGGCGCACGGUGGAUGCCUUGGCACUAGAAGCCGAAGAAGGACGUUACUAACGACGAUAUGCUUUGGGGAGCUGUAAGUACGCUUUGAUCCAGAGAUUUCCGAAUGGGGAAACCCAGCAUGAGUUAUGUCAUGUUAUCCGCAUAUGAAUACAUAGUAUGUGAGAAGGCACACCCGGAGAACUGAAACAUCUUAGUACCCGGAGGAAGAGAAAGAAAACUCGAUUCCCUGAGUAGCGGCGAGCGAAACGGGAAGAGCCCAAACCAAUAGGCUUGCCUAUUGGGGUUGUAGGACACUCAAUACGGAGUUACAAAGGAAAUGAUUAGACGAAUGGUUUUGGAAAAGCCAACCAUAGAAGGUAAAGGUCCUGUAGUCGAAAGUCAUUUCUCUCCUGAGUGGAUCCUGAGUACGGCGGAACACGUGAAAUUCCGUCGGAAUCUGGGAGGACCAUCUCCCAAGGCUAAAUACUCUCUAGUGACCGAUAGUGAACCAGUACCGUGAGGGAAAGGUGAAAAGCACCCCGGAAGGGGAGUGAAAUAGAACCUGAAACCGUGUGCUUACAAAUAGUCAGAGCCCGUUAAUGGGUGAUGGCGUGCCUUUUGUAGAAUGAACCGGCGAGUUACGAUUUGAUGCAAGGUUAAGCAGUAAAUGUGGAGCCGUAGCGAAAGCGAGUCUGAAUAGGGCGAAUGAGUAUCUGGUCGUAGACCCGAAACCAAGUGAUCUACCCAUGUCCAGGUUGAAGUUCAGGUAACACUGAAUGGAGGACCGAACCGACUUACGUUGAAAAGUGAGCGGAUGAGGUGUGGGUAGCGGAGAAAUUCCAAUCGAACUUGGAGAUAGCUGGUUCUCUCCGAAAUAGCUUUAGGGCUAGCCUCAAGUGAUGAUUAUUGGAGGUAGAGCACUGUUUGGACGAGGGGCCCCUCUCGGGUUACCGAAUUCAGACAAACUCCGAAUGCCAAAUAAUUUAACUUGGGAGUCAGACUAUGGGUGAUAAGGUCCGUAGUCGAAAGGGAAACAGCCCAGACCACCAGCUAAGGUCCCAAAAUAUAUGUUAAGUGGAAAAGGAUGUGGCGUUGCCCAGACAACUAGGAUGUUGGCUUAGAAGCAGCCAUCAUUUAAAGAGUGCGUAAUAGCUCACUAGUCGAGUGACACUGCGCCGAAAAUGUACCGGGGCUAAACAUAUUACCGAAGCUGUGGAUUAUCCGUAAGGAUAAUGGUAGGAGAGCGUUCUAAACGUGUCGAAGCAUGAUCGUAAGGACAUGUGGAAUGUUUAGAAGUGAGAAUGCCGGUGUGAGUAGCGAAAGAUGGGUGAGAAUCCCAUCCACCGAUUGACUAAGGUUUCCAGAGGAAGGCUCGUCCGCUCUGGGUUAGUCGGGACCUAAGCCGAGGCCGAUAGGCGUAGGCGAUGGAUAACAGGUAGAUAUUCCUGUACCACCUAUGAUUGUUUGAACGAUGGGGGGACGCAGUAGGAUAGGCGAAGCGUGCUGUUGGAGUGCACGUCCAAGCAAUAAGACUGAGUGUUAGGCAAAUCCGGCACUCGUAAGGUUGAGUUGUGAUGGGGAGUUGGAUCAUGUAUCCGACGAGUCGUUGAUUUCACACUGCCAAGAAAAGCCUCUAGUUAGAAAAUAGGUGCCCGUACCGCAAACCGACACAGGUAGUCAAGAUGAGAAUUCUAAGGUGAGCGAGCGAACUCUCGUUAAGGAACUCGGCAAAAUGACCCCGUAACUUCGGGAGAAGGGGUGCUUUUUAGGGUGCAAGCCUUGAAGAGCCGCAGUGAAUAGGCCCAAGCGACUGUUUAUCAAAAACACAGGUCUCUGCUAAACCGUAAGGUGAUGUAUAGGGGCUGACGCCUGCCCGGUGCUGGAAGGUUAAGAGGAGUGGUUAGCUUCUGCGAAGCUACGAAUCGAAGCCCCAGUAAACGGCGGCCGUAACUAUAACGGUCCUAAGGUAGCGAAAUUCCUUGUCGGGUAAGUUCCGACCCGCACGAAAGGCGUAACGAUUUGGGCACUGUCUCAACGAGAGACUCGGUGAAAUCAUAGUACCUGUGAAGAUGCAGGUUACCCGCGACAGGACGGAAAGACCCCGUGGAGCUUUACUGUAGCCUGAUAUUGAAAUUUGGCACAGCUUGUACAGGAUAGGUAGGAGCCUUUGAAACGUGAGCGCUAGCUUACGUGGAGGCGCUGGUGGGAUACUACCCUGGCUGUGUUGACUUUCUAACCCGCACCAUUUGAUCAUGGUGGGAGACAGUGUCAGGCGGGCAGUUUGACUGGGGCGGU